CAGUACCACUUUUAUCCAGUAUUUUUUACAUGGAUGGAUGAUAGAAGACAUCUAACUUCAUUCUCCAGAUGGAUUGUAUUUUGUCAUGAAAUACAACUGCAAGCAACCUAACAACCUUCCUGAGAGACCACACCCAGCUCCAGCCCAUGUGGAAUUUUGUGCCUGAAGCAGAGAGCCCUUUGUGAACCAGAGCAGCCCACUGCCUUGCUGGAGACCAGGUGGCGGAGCACUUGGCACAGGGACAUCAGCCUGAGCUUCCUGCUUUUCAAGUGAGGGGAAGAGCUCUUGGCUGGGGCUAUUGCAACUAAUAAACAGCGAAUAUUAGUUAA
Molecule: long non-coding RNA, 329 nt
Organism: Columba livia (rock pigeon)
Lineage: Eukaryota; Metazoa; Chordata; Aves; Columbiformes; Columbidae
Exons: 2
Source: RefSeq, a predicted model, not a curated record